CCUACGGGGGGCAGCAGUGAGGAAUAUUGGUCAAUGGACGAGAGUCUGAACCAGCCAAGUAGCGUGAAGGAUGACUGCCCUAUGGGUUGUAAACUUCUUUUAUAUGGGAAUAAAAUGUUCCACGUGUGGGAUUUUGUAUGUACCAUAUGAAUAAGGAUCGGCUAACUCCGUGCCAGCAGCCGCGGUAAUACGGAGGAUCCGAGCGUUAUCCGGAUUUAUUGGGUGUAAAGGGAGCGUAGGUGGAUUGUUAAGUCAGUUGUGAAAGUUUGCGGCUCAACCGUAAAAUUGCAGUUGAAACUGGCAGUCUUGAGUACAGUAGAGGUGGGCGGAAUUCGUGGUGUAGCGGUGAAAUGCUUAGAUAUCACGAAGAACUCCGAUUGCGAAGGCAGUUCACUGGACUGCAACUGACACUGAGGCUCGAAAGUGUGGGUAUCAAACAGGAUUAGAUACCCGGGUAGUC
RNAcentral lists this ribosomal RNA (460 nucleotides) under uncultured bacterium. RNAcentral's name for it is "partial 16S ribosomal RNA". It matches the Rfam family "Bacterial small subunit ribosomal RNA", at positions 338 to 795 of the family's 1533-position model. The record is from RNAcentral.